This 253-nucleotide ribosomal RNA is filed under the name uncultured bacterium. RNAcentral's name for it is "partial 16S ribosomal RNA". It matches the Rfam family "Bacterial small subunit ribosomal RNA", at positions 524 to 776 of the family's 1533-position model. The record is from RNAcentral.
UACGGAGGAUGCGAGCGUUAUCCGGAUUCAUUGGGUUUAAAGGGUGCGCAGGCGGACUUAUAAGUCAGUGGUGAAAUCCUACGGCUCAACCGUGGCACUGCCAUUGAUACUGUGAGUCUUGAGUAUAGUUGAAGUGGGCGGAAUGUAGCAUGUAGCGGUGAAAUGCAUAGAUAUGCUACAGAACACCGAUAGCGAAGGCAGCUCACUAAGUUAUAACUGACGCUCAUGCACGAAAGCGUGGGGAUCAAACAGG